Molecule: ribosomal RNA, 1419 nt
Filed under: uncultured bacterium
Lineage: Bacteria
Description: bacterial SSU rRNA
Rfam family: Bacterial small subunit ribosomal RNA
Source: RNAcentral
AGAGUUUGAUCCUGGCUCACAUUGAACGCUGGCGGCAGGCCUAACACAUGCAAGUCGAGCGGUAGCACAGAGAGCUUGCUCUCGGGUGACGAGCGGCGGACGGGUGAGUAAUGUCUGGGAAACUGCCUGAUGGAGGGGGAUAACUACUGGAAACGGUAGCUAAUACCGCAUAAUGUCGCAAGACCAAAGUGGGGGACCUUCGGGCCUCAUGCCAUCAGAUGUGCCCAGAUGGGAUUAGCUAGUAGGUGGGGUAACGGCUCACCUAGGCGACGAUCCCUAGCUGGUCUGAGAGGAUGACCAGCCACACUGGAACUGAGACACGGUCCAGACUCCUACGGGAGGCAGCAGUGGGGAAUAUUGCACAAUGGGCGCAAGCCUGAUGCAGCCAUGCCGCGUGUGUGAAGAAGGCCUUCGGGUUGUAAAGCACUUUCAGCGGGGAGGAAGGCGUUAAGGUUAAUAACCUUGGCGAUUGACGUUACCCGCAGAAGAAGCACCGGCUAACUCCGUGCCAGCAGCCGCGGUAAUACGGAGGGUGCAAGCGUUAAUCGGAAUUACUGGGCGUAAAGCGCACGCAGGCGGUCUGUCAAGUCGGAUGUGAAAUCCCCGGGCUCAACCUGGGAACUGCAUUCGAAACUGGCAGGCUAGAGUCUUGUAGAGGGGGGUAGAAUUCCAGGUGUAGCGGUGAAAUGCGUAGAGAUCUGGAGGAAUACCGGUGGCGAAGGCGGCCCCCUGGACAAAGACUGACGCUCAGGUGCGAAAGCGUGGGGAGCAAACAGGAUUAGAUACCCUGGUAGUCCACGCCGUAAACGAUGUCGAUUUGGAGGUUGUGCCCUUGAGGCGUGGCUUCCGGAGCUAACGCGUUAAAUCGACCGCCUGGGGAGUACGGCCGCAAGGUUAAAACUCAAAUGAAUUGACGGGGGCCCGCACAAGCGGUGGAGCAUGUGGUUUAAUUCGAUGCAACGCGAAGAACCUUACCUGGUCUUGACAUCCACAGAACUUUCCAGAGAUGGAUUGGUGCCUUCGGGAACUGUGAGACAGGUGCUGCAUGGCUGUCGUCAGCUCGUGUUGUGAAAUGUUGGGUUAAGUCCCGCAACGAGCGCAACCCUUAUCCUUUGUUGCCAGCGGUUCGGCCGGGAACUCAAAGGAGACUGCCAGUGAUAAACUGGAGGAAGGUGGGGAUGACGUCAAGUCAUCAUGGCCCUUACGACCAGGGCUACACACGUGCUACAAUGGCAUAUACAAAGAGAAGCGACCUCGCGAGAGCAAGCGGACCUCAUAAAGUAUGUCGUAGUCCGGAUUGGAGUCUGCAACUCGACUCCAUGAAGUCGGAAUCGCUAGUAAUCGUGGAUCAGAAUGCUACGGUGAAUACGUUCCCGGGCCUUGUACACACCGCCCGUCACACCAUGGGAGUGGGUUGCA